CGGGAGGUUGCAGUGGUGCCCAAACCCAGCAGUCAUCUCACCCUUUCUCUUCAAGUGUGAAAAUGGCCAGCAAGCUGAGCUGGCCCUGCGUUUGCAUCACUUUGUUGGGAGGAGUUUUAAUUGGAGCUGAGUGCUUGACACCUGGACAGAAAAUUGGUGGAACCUGAUGCGUCCCCACAGUGGAAUCUCCAAGAGAGAGGACAUCAUGGUUAUCUAGAUCUCCUGCACUUCUCUGAUCUCCUUCCUUUCUGAGGGUCCCAUCCAGUUAACCACGUUACACAUAGUCAUCACGUCUCCUUAGGCUACUUUCGGCUGUGACGCUUUCUCAGAUUUUCAUUGUGUUUAAUGACCUUGACAGUUUUGAGAAGUGCUGCUGAGUUCAUUUUACAGAAUUUCCCUCAAUUGCAAUUUAUUUGAUGUUUUUCUUAUGUUCAGCCCGGGGUUAUGGGUUUGGGGGAGGAAGACCACAGAUGUGAAGAGACAUUUUCAUAAUAUUGUAUUAAGGGUACAUACUACCAGUGUGACCUAUCACCAUUGACUACAACCUUGAACCUGGCUGAGGUAGAGUUUGUCAGGCAUAGCAUUUUUUCAAUGGCAAAUGUCCAUUGCAUAUUUAAAAGACAAUAAGGAAAUUAAUUGACGUGCUACCUGUUAGGAAUGCAGUUUAUACUUGAAACAUAUUAUAUCCAUGAUAUUAACUUGGGGUAGUGAGAGGUUGAAUUGACAUGAAAUGAACCAAAACUUAACAAAAU
This is a long non-coding RNA of Cynocephalus volans (Philippine flying lemur), 752 nucleotides long. RefSeq lists it as uncharacterized. The transcript is spliced from 3 exons. The record is from RefSeq and is a predicted model, not a curated record. Lineage: Eukaryota; Metazoa; Chordata; Mammalia; Dermoptera; Cynocephalidae.